UCUGGUGGCGAUAGCGAAGAGGUCACACCCGUUCCCAUAUCGAACACGGAAGUUAAGCUCUUUAGCGCCAAUGGUAGUUGGGACUUUGUCCCUGUGAGAGUAGGACGUUGCCAGGC
RNAcentral lists this ribosomal RNA (116 nucleotides) under Priestia megaterium. Lineage: Bacteria; Bacillati; Bacillota; Bacilli; Caryophanales; Bacillaceae. The record is from RNAcentral.